RNAcentral lists this ribosomal RNA (374 nucleotides) under uncultured bacterium. RNAcentral's name for it is "bacterial SSU rRNA". It matches the Rfam family "Bacterial small subunit ribosomal RNA", at positions 524 to 898 of the family's 1533-position model. The record is from RNAcentral.
UACGUAGGUGGCAAGCGUUGUCCGGAAUUACUGGGUGUAAAGGGAGCGUAGGCGGGAAGGCAAGUUGGAUGUGAAAUACCGCAGCUUAACUGCGGGGCUGCAUCCAAAACUGCUUUUCUUGAGUGAAGUAGAGGUAAGCGGAAUUCCUAGUGUAGCGGUGAAAUGCGUAGAUAUUAGGAGGAACACCAGUGGCGAAGGCGGCUUACUGGGCUUUAACUGACGCUGAGGCUCGAAAGCGUGGGUAGCAAACAGGAUUAGAUACCCUGGUAGUCCACGCCGUAAACGAUGAUUACUAGGUGUGGGGGGGUUAGACCUUCCGUGCCGGAGUUAACACAAUAAGUAAUCCACCUGGGGAGUACGAUCGCAAGAUUGAA